AUACGGAGGGUGCAAGCGUUGUUCGGAAUCACUGGGCGUAAAGGGCGCGCAGGCGGUUUGGUAAGUCAGAUGUGAAAGCCCACGGCUCAACCGUGGAAGUGCAUUUGAAACUGUCAGACUUGAGUACUAGAGGGGAAAGUGGAAUUCCCGGUGUAGAGGUGAAAUUCGUAGAUAUCGGGAGGAAUACCGGUGGCGAAGGCGACUUUCUGGCUAGAUACUGACGCUGAGGCGCGAAAGCGUGGGGAGCAAACAGGAUUAGAAACACCAGUAGUCC
This 274-nucleotide ribosomal RNA is filed under the name uncultured bacterium. Its description in RNAcentral is "partial 16S ribosomal RNA". It matches the Rfam family "Bacterial small subunit ribosomal RNA", at positions 523 to 796 of the family's 1533-position model. The record is from RNAcentral.